Molecule: ribosomal RNA, 555 nt
Filed under: bacterium
Lineage: Bacteria
Description: bacterial SSU rRNA
Rfam family: Bacterial small subunit ribosomal RNA
Source: RNAcentral
CAGUGGGGAAUUUUGGACAAUGGGCGAAAGCCUGAUCCAGCAAUGCCGCGUGAGUGAAGAAGGCCUUCGGGUUGUAAAGCUCUUUUGUCAGGGAAGAAACGGUGAAAGCUAAUAUCUUUUGCUAAUGACGGUACCUGAAGAAUAAGCACCGGCUAACUACGUGCCAGCAGCCGCGGUAAUACGUAGGGUGCAAGCGUUAAUCGGAAUUACUGGGCGUAAAGCGUGCGCAGGCGGUUUUGUAAGUCUGAUGUGAAAUCCCCGGGCUCAACCUGGGAAUUGCAUUGGAGACUGCAAGGCUAGAAUCUGGCAGAGGGGGGUAGAAUUCCACGUGUAGCAGUGAAAUGCGUAGAUAUGUGGAGGAACACCGAUGGCGAAGGCAGCCCCCUGGGUCAAGAUUGACGCUCAUGCACGAAAGCGUGGGGAGCAAACAGGAUUAGAUACCCUGGUAGUCCACGCCCUAAACGAUGUCUACUAGUUGUCGGGUCUUAAUUGACUUGGUAACGCAGCUAACGCGUGAAGUAGACCGCCUGGGGAGUACGGUCGCAAGAUUACAAC